GACGAACGCUGGCGGCGUGCUUAACACAUGCAAGUCGAGCGGAAAGGCCCUUCGGGGUACUCGAGCGGCGAACGGGUGAGUAACACGUGAGUAACCUGCCCCAGACUUUGGGAUAACCCUCGGAAACGGGGGCUAAUACCGGAUACGACACAGCUUCGCAUGGGGUCUGUGUGGAAAGUUUUUCGGUUUGGGAUGGGCUCGCGGCCUAUCAGCUUGUUGGUGGGGUGAUGGCCUACCAAGGCGACGACGGGUAGCCGGCCUGAGAGGGCGACCGGCCACACUGGGACUGAGACACGGCCCAGACUCCUACGGGAGGCAGCAGUGGGGAAUAUUGCACAAUGAGCGGAAGCCUGAUGCAGCGACGCCGCGUGAGGGAUGACGGCCUUCGGGUUGUAAACCUCUUUCAGCAGGGACGAAGCGUAAGUGACGGUACCUGCAGAAGAAGCGCCGGCCAACUACGUG
RNAcentral lists this ribosomal RNA (462 nucleotides) under uncultured bacterium. RNAcentral's name for it is "partial 16S ribosomal RNA". It matches the Rfam family "Bacterial small subunit ribosomal RNA", at positions 28 to 507 of the family's 1533-position model. The record is from RNAcentral.